Long non-coding RNA from Dromaius novaehollandiae (emu), 1451 nucleotides. RefSeq lists it as uncharacterized. NCBI's taxonomy places the organism in Eukaryota, Metazoa, Chordata, Aves, Casuariiformes, Dromaiidae. The record is from RefSeq and is a predicted model, not a curated record. The transcript is spliced from 3 exons.
UCCUUGGCGGCCGGUGCAGCCGGGUCGGCCCCCGGGGGCGGACGGGCCGCGGUGGGACGGCACCGUGGUGGCAGCCGGCUGGGAGGGAGUAGCCGGCGGAGGGAAAUUGCUCGGGGUGAUUCAGAGCAAUUUUCCUCCCAAUUCCCCCGGCUCCCCAGGCGGACGUGCACUCGCCGGGGCGGCGGAGGGGGGCCCCACGCGCUGACCCACAUACGCCUUCCCCGGGGAACACCCUCCGCUGGAGGCUCCCCGGGGAGGUGCAGCAGCGCGGGGAGGCAGCCGGGGAACAGGACCGACCGGGAGAAAUCCUCGCCCUCCGCCCACGACGGCUGGCGAGGCGAAGCGCCCGCGCGGGGCUGCUGCCGCCCAGUCUGCGCCCGCCGAGCGGCUGCUGCAGGUGAGCGGGGGGUCAGGGAAAAUGCUUGAAAUGGUAAAAGCCCCCCCGAAAGCCCCUGCCUCGCCGGGCUGCCGCUCUCCCCCGCCUCGGGGCUGCUCUCGCGCUGCUGCGCCGGGCGCCCGGGCUGCAAACCCGCGCCCACCCUCGCCUCGGCCGCAGGGGCCCGCGGCAUGUCUCGGCUCCUCAAGGCCCUCGCGGACGUGAUGGGCAGCUACCAGGGCAGCGGCAGGAAGGGGAAGAAGCCCGAGCCGUUCAGCAGGAGCGAGUUCAGAAAGCUGAUCCAGCAGGAGUUUGCGCCCGCCGAGCGGGCGCCCGCCAGCAGGUAGCGGUGCGUCUCCAGCCUGGACGCGGACGCGGAGCCGAUGAACCAGCCGGAGAGGGGCCCUGCCGAGCGCUGCUCGUGCUGAGGCUGGGGCGGGCGGCUGCCCUGGGGCCCCGGCAGGGAACGCCCGGCUCUGCCCGACCCGGGGGCUUCCACCCGCUGCAACGAAACCCGGGAGAGGCGCGUGCCCACGGGGCUUCGGAGCAGCUCCCGCUGCGCUUUCCUCCGUCCCUGCAGGAUGGCCGAAUUCCCUGGAUGGCGAAGGAGUGGGGUGACGGUGCCUCCGGCCGCGGUGGCAUCUCCCGCGGGAACCCCGCUCCUCCGGCACAGACGCCGCUGCCCCGGCCCGUCGCCCUCCACGGCGUCACCUCCACCAGCACAAGCGGCCCCGGCUCCCUCGUUUCGUCCCAUUCCCGAGCUUUUCCGUCUGUAACGGGCAGUGAGCGAGACAUCCCUGGCGGGCAGGGCCGGGACGAGCCGUGUGAUGAGCUGUUUCGGGCCGUGCGGCAGUGGCGAGCGGGGCAUGCGGGCGGCUCUGCGGGGACGGUGACACGGCUGCGGCCGGCAGCUCACGUGCAGCUGAUUCGAGUCUGCGACAAAAUUCCCACGGAUCUGCGGGGGGGAGAAAUUCAUCCCACGCUUACACAGGUGUUUCAGCCUAAUAAAUGACGCUGGGGCGAUGCAUUGGCUUUCUUCUGCAAUAAAAAAAGGGAAACUGAGCCCUUCUGGAAA